Molecule: ribosomal RNA, 412 nt
Filed under: Wickerhamiella sp.
Lineage: Eukaryota; Fungi; Ascomycota; Dipodascomycetes; Dipodascales; Trichomonascaceae
Description: partial 28S ribosomal RNA
Rfam family: Eukaryotic large subunit ribosomal RNA
Source: RNAcentral
GGCAAAGCUCAAAUUUGAAAUCUGCUCAGUAGAGCCGAGUUGUAAUUUUGAAGAUGGCAACUCUGGGUCCGUCCUUGCUCAAGUUCCUUGGAAUAGGACAUCAUGGAGGGUGAGAAUCCCGUGAGGCAAGGGUCGCGGUUCUAUGUAGAGUGUUAUCGACGAGUCGAGUUGUUUGGGAAUGCAGCUCUAAGUGGGUGGUAAAUUCCAUCUAAAGCUAAAUAUUGGCGAGAGACCGAUAGCGAACAAGUACUGUGAAGGAAAGAUGAAAAGAACUUUGAAAAGAGAGUGAAAAAGUACGUGAAAUUGUUGAAAUGGAAGGGCUUGAAAUCAGACAUGGUGUUUUGCGCUCCUCUGCCCCUCGGGGUUGGGUACUCGCUUUCCACCGGGCCAGCAUCAGUUUGGAGAGUGGGAU